GGCGGCAUGCCUUACACAUGCAAGUCGAACGGCAGCACGGGGGCAACCCUGGUGGCGAGUGGCGAACGGGUGAGUAAUACAUCGGAACGUGUCCUGUAGUGGGGGAUAGCCCGGCGAAAGCCGGAUUAAUACCGCAUACGCUCUGCGGAGGAAAGCGGGGGAUCCUUCGGGACCUCGCGCUACAGGGGCGGCCGAUGGCAGAUUAGCUAGUUGGUGGGGUAAAGGCCUACCAAGGCGACGAUCUGUAGCUGGUCUGAGAGGACGACCAGCCACACUGGGACUGAGACACGGCCCAGACUCCUACGGGAGGCAGCAGUGGGGAAUUUUGGACAAUGGGGGAAACCCUGAUCCAGCAAUGCCGCGUGUGUGAAGAAGGCCUUCGGGUUGUAAAGCACUUUUGUCCGGAAAGAAAACCGCCUGGUUAAUACCUGGGCGGGAUGACGGUACCGGAAGAAUAAGCACCGGCUAACUACGUGCCAGCAGCCGCGGUAAUACGUAGGGUGCAAGCG
RNAcentral lists this ribosomal RNA (509 nucleotides) under uncultured beta proteobacterium. RNAcentral describes it as "bacterial SSU rRNA". It matches the Rfam family "Bacterial small subunit ribosomal RNA", at positions 38 to 540 of the family's 1533-position model. The record is from RNAcentral. Lineage: Bacteria; Pseudomonadati; Pseudomonadota; Betaproteobacteria.